Molecule: ribosomal RNA, 447 nt
Filed under: uncultured bacterium
Lineage: Bacteria
Description: bacterial SSU rRNA
Rfam family: Bacterial small subunit ribosomal RNA
Source: RNAcentral
UGGGGAAUAUUGGACAAUGGGCGAAAGCCUGAUCCAGCCAUGCCGCGUGAGUGACGAAGGCCUUAGGGUUGUAAAACUCUUUCGUCGGGGACGAUAAUGACGGUACCCGAAGAAGAAGCUCCGACUAACUUCGUGCCAGCAGCCGCGGUAAUACGAAGGGAGCUAGCGUUGUUCGGAAUCACUGGGCGUAAAGCGCACGUAGGCGGAUAGUUAAGUCAGGGGUGAAAUCCUGGGGCUCAACCCCAGAACUGCCUUUGAUACUGGCUGUCUCGAGGUCGAGAGAGGUUGGUGGAAUUCCUAGUGUAGAGGUGAAAUUCGUAGAUAUUAGGAAGAACACCAGUGGCGAAGGCGGCCAACUGGCUCGAUACUGACGCUGAGGUGCGAAAGCGUGGGGAGCAAACAGGAUUAGAUACCCAGGUAGUCCCUGAGCGGGCUGGCAAGGCGCAU